This 433-nucleotide ribosomal RNA is filed under the name uncultured bacterium. RNAcentral describes it as "partial 16S ribosomal RNA". It matches the Rfam family "Bacterial small subunit ribosomal RNA", at positions 29 to 507 of the family's 1533-position model. The record is from RNAcentral.
AACGAACGCUGGCGGCAUGCCUAACACAUGCAAGUCGAACGAGACCUUCGGGUCUAGUGGCGCACGGGUGCGUAACGCGUGGGAACCUGCCCUUAGGUUCGGAAUAACUCCCUUUAUGGGGUGCUAAUACCGGAUAAUGUCUUCGGACCAAAGUUUUAUCGCCUUUGGAUUGGCCCGCGUUGGUUUAGCUUGUUGGUUGGGUAAAAGCCUACCAAGGCCUCGAUCCAUAUCUGGUCUGAGAGGAUGAUCAGCCACACUGGGACUGAGACACGGCCCAGACUACUACGGGAGGCAGCAGUGGGGAAUAUUGGACAAUGGACGAAAGCCUGAUCCAGCAAUGCCGCGUGAGUGAUGAAGGCCUUAGGGUUGUAAAGCUCUUUUACCCGGGAUGAUAAUGACAGGACCGGGAGAAUAAGCUCCGGCUAACUCCGUG